RNAcentral lists this ribosomal RNA (227 nucleotides) under uncultured bacterium. RNAcentral's name for it is "partial 16S ribosomal RNA". It matches the Rfam family "Bacterial small subunit ribosomal RNA", at positions 107 to 334 of the family's 1533-position model. The record is from RNAcentral.
UGAGUAACACGUAUCCAACCUGCCGUCUACUCUUGGACAGCCUUCUGAAAGGAAGAUUAAUACAAGAUGGCAUCAUGAAUUCACAUGUUCACAUGAUUAAAGGUAUUCCGGUAGACGAUGGGGAUGCGUUCCAUUAGAUAGUAGGCGGGGUAACGGCCCACCUAGUCUUCGAUGGAUAGGGGUUCUGAGAGGAAGGUCCCCCACAUUGGAACUGAGACACGGUCCAA